This 450-nucleotide ribosomal RNA is filed under the name uncultured bacterium. RNAcentral describes it as "partial 16S ribosomal RNA". It matches the Rfam family "Bacterial small subunit ribosomal RNA", at positions 354 to 796 of the family's 1533-position model. The record is from RNAcentral.
GUGGGGAAUUUUGGACAAUGGGCGCAAGCCUGAUCCAGCAAUGCCGCGUGUGUGAAGAAGGCCUUCGGGUUGUAAAGCACUUUUGGCAGGAAAGAAAUAGUGCGUGCUAAUACCAUGCGCGAAUGACGGUACCUGCAGAAUAAGCACCGGCUAACUACGUGCCAGCAGCCGCGGUAAGACGUAGGGUGCAAGCGUUAAUCGGAAUUACUGGGCGUAAAGCGUGCGCAGGCGGUUUUGUAAGACAGGUGUGAAAUCCCCGGGCUCAACCUGGGAACUGCACUUGUGACUGCAAGGCUAGAGUGUGGCAGAGGGAGGUGGAAUUCCGCGUGUAGCAGUGAAAUGCGUAGAGAUGCGGAGGAACACCGAUGGCGAAGGCAGCCUCCUGGGAUAACACUGACGCUCAGGCACGAAAGCGUGGGGAGCAAACAGGAUUAGAUACCCUUGUAGUCC